Molecule: long non-coding RNA, 807 nt
Organism: Numida meleagris (helmeted guineafowl)
Lineage: Eukaryota; Metazoa; Chordata; Aves; Galliformes; Numididae
Exons: 3
Source: RefSeq, a predicted model, not a curated record
GUCGGCAUGUUCAUUUCCUCUGCAGAUGCCCACUGGAUGUAGCAAUCAGACAGACACACUGGAGGAUACAUGCCUCCACAGUAGGGGUCAAGCAAGCAGGGCUUUAGGCUCUUGUAGCACUCAGUACUUGGAGAUGGGCUUCCUCUUACUUAGUAUCAGCUUUCUCAUGGUUAGGUGCCUCACUUACACUCGCCUGGGCUACUCCUUGAAUUGCAGAGAGAUGGGCGCUUCCCAGGGCCCACACUACUGCCCCUGUUAUGACAAAGUUUAGCUUUGCCUUCCUUUUGUUUAAGAGUGUCCAAUUAGAGUAAUAGUUUCUCCAUCCUGGUAGCAUAAAAGAGUACAGCAGCAUGAGGGAAGAACCUACCCUACCUGCUGGGGCUGGGCAAGAGGGCUGCAGUGCCUGUCCUCAAAGACCAGCACAACUUCCAUUUCCGUCACCCUCUGCACCAACAAGAGGUGUCUCUCACCUGCAGGUCACCACAGCUGAGGCAGCUUUAGCUGUAAAAUCAGACUGACAAGAGAAAGGUGGGGAAGUACUUCCAACAUUGGGGAAAAAAUUCAGUGCCCACAAGAUAAAAUAUGUUCAGUGGGUAAUACAGCGUCUGGAUGCUGAAAUUCCUGCAGCUGCCACUGGAAAAUUGAUCCUGGCUUGUUACGAUGAGAGGGGCUGGAACCUGUGCAGAAUGUCAACGCCGAGAGCGAGGGACGGAGCAGAUGGGUGAAGUGCAGAAAUAAAUUUCCAAUGCAAGCUUUAAAUAUAUGUCUGCUGGCAUUGAAAUCUACGCUUCUGUAUGAUUACAGCAG